AACGAACGCUGGCGGCGCGCCUAAUACAUGCAAGUCGAGCGAGAAGGUGUAGCAAUACACUUGUAAAGCGGCGAACGGGUGAGGAAUACAUGGGUAAUCUACCAUCGAGUGGGGAAUAACCAACCGAAAGGUUGGCUAAUACCGCGUACGCCUCCGAGUCUUCGGGUUCGGAGGGAAAGCUGCACUGUGAGUGUAGCGCUCUUUGAUGAGCUCAUGUCCUAUCAGCUUGUUGGUAGGGUAACGGCCUACCAAGGCUUUGACGGGUAGCUGGUCUGAGAGGACGAUCAGCCACACUGGCACUGCGACACGGGCCAGACUCCUACGGGAGGCAGCAGUAAGGAAUAUUGCGCAAUGGGCGAAAGCCUGACGCAGCGACGCCGCGUGGGGGAUGAAGGUCUUCGGAUUGUAAACCCCUUUCGGGGGGAAGAUGGAGCGAGCAAUCGUUCGGACGGUACCUCCAGAAGCAGCCACGGCCAACUUCGUGCCAGCAGCCG
RNAcentral lists this ribosomal RNA (494 nucleotides) under uncultured bacterium. Its description in RNAcentral is "bacterial SSU rRNA". It matches the Rfam family "Bacterial small subunit ribosomal RNA", at positions 29 to 517 of the family's 1533-position model. The record is from RNAcentral.